AUCCCAUGAUGAGGGCAUCUACAUAGUAACUCCUUGAAUCUUUCUCAUGCCUCGUAUAAGAACUCGUCAUCCAGUUGUUGAAAAGUGGUGAUCUCAUUCCGCAACUU
This is a non-coding RNA of Gossypium raimondii (Peruvian cotton), 107 nucleotides long. The record is from Rfam. NCBI's taxonomy places the organism in Eukaryota, Viridiplantae, Streptophyta, Magnoliopsida, Malvales, Malvaceae.